CAGUAGCCGCGGGAAAACCAGCACCUCGAGUGGUCAGGAGGUUUAUUGGGCCUAAAGCAUCCGUAGCCGGUUGCAUAAGUUUUCGGUUAAAUCUAUGCGCUUAACGUAUAGGCCGCCGAAAAUACUGUGCAGCUAGGGAGUGGGAGAGGUACACGGUACUCGAUAGGAAGGGGUAAAAUCCUUUGAUCUAUUGAUGACCACCUGUGGCGAAGGCGGUGUACCAGAACACGUUCGACGGUGAGGGAUGAAAGCUGGGGGAGCAAACCGGAUUAGAUACCCGAGUAGUCCCUGUCUCUUAUAC
RNAcentral lists this ribosomal RNA (301 nucleotides) under uncultured bacterium. RNAcentral's name for it is "partial 16S ribosomal RNA". It matches the Rfam family "Archaeal small subunit ribosomal RNA", at positions 459 to 760 of the family's 1478-position model. The record is from RNAcentral.